CCUACGGGCGGCUGCAGUGGGGAAUCUUGCGCAAUGGGCGGAAGCCUGACGCAGCGACGCCGCGUGCGGGAGGAAGGCCCUCGGGUCGUAAACCGCUUUCAGCAGGGACGAGGCCGCGAGGGGACGGUACCUGCAGAAGAAGCCCCGGCUAACUACGUGCCAGCAGCCGCGGUAAUACGUAGGGGGCGAGCGUUAUCCGGAUUCAUUGGGCGUGAAGCGCUCGUAGGCGGCCUGCCAGGUCGGGGGUCAAAUGCGGGGGCCCAACCCCCGGCCGCUCCCGAUACCGGCGGGCUUGAGUUUGGUAGGGGAAGGCGGAACUCCCGGUGUAGCGGUGGAAUGCGCAGAUAUCGGGAGGAACACCGGUGGCGAAGGCGGCCUUCUGGGCCACGACUGACGCUGAGGAGCGAAAGCUGGGGGAGCGAACAGGAUUAGAUACCCGAGUAGUC
This 446-nucleotide ribosomal RNA is filed under the name uncultured Coriobacteriaceae bacterium. RNAcentral's name for it is "bacterial SSU rRNA". It matches the Rfam family "Bacterial small subunit ribosomal RNA", at positions 338 to 795 of the family's 1533-position model. The record is from RNAcentral. Lineage: Bacteria; Bacillati; Actinomycetota; Coriobacteriia; Coriobacteriales; Coriobacteriaceae.